This 286-nucleotide long non-coding RNA is filed under the name Elaeis guineensis (African oil palm). RNAcentral's name for it is "long non-coding RNA (EGUI_LNC028792)". Lineage: Eukaryota; Viridiplantae; Streptophyta; Magnoliopsida; Arecales; Arecaceae. The record is from RNAcentral.
GUCACCAUCCUCAGCAAACUGGGUGCUGGAUUUAGAGGAGCACAUUGAGGUCAGUCAAGUGGAUGUGUUUCCCUUAGCAAUAACAAGCUUGAUGUCAAAACACUCACAAAAAGAUGGCCAAAGAACUUUUCCUUAUUCUGUUUUUUUUUUUGUUAUCAUUUUUGUAUCUUCUCGUAAAUGGUGGAUAUGAAUCAUGAUGGUUAAGGUUUUGAUAUAGACUACCGAGUGAUAGAUUAACACUUUUGUCGCAAGACAAAAAGACAUAGGAGUAUAUUCCUGACCCGGG